GAUGAACGCUGGCGGCGUGCCUAAUACAUGCAAGUCGAGCGAACAGACGAGGAGCUUGCUCCUCUGACGUUAGCGGCGGACGGGUGAGUAACACGUGGAUAACCUACCUAUAAGACUGGGAUAACUUCGGGAAACCGGAGCUAAUACCGGAUAAUAUAUUGAACCGCAUGGUUCAAUAGUGAAAGACGGUUUUGCUGUCACUUAUAGAUGGAUCCGCGCCGCAUUAGCUAGUUGGUAAGGUAACGGCUUACCAAGGCGACGAUGCGUAGCCGACCUGAGAGGGUGAUCGGCCACACUGGAACUGAGACACGGUCCAGACUCCUACGGGAGGCAGCAGUAGGGAAUCUUCCGCAAUGGGCGAAAGCCUGACGGAGCAACGCCGCGUGAGUGAUUAAGGUCUUCGGAUCGUAAAACUCUGUUAUUAGGGAAGAACAAAUGUGUAAGUAACUAUGCACGUCUUGACGGUACCUAAUCAGAAAGCCACGGCUAACUACGUG
Molecule: ribosomal RNA, 497 nt
Filed under: uncultured bacterium
Lineage: Bacteria
Description: partial 16S ribosomal RNA
Rfam family: Bacterial small subunit ribosomal RNA
Source: RNAcentral